UGGGGAAUUUUUCGCAAUGGGCGAAAGCCUGACGAAGCAACGCCGCGUGGAGGAUGAAGGCCUUCGGGUCGUAAACUCCUGUCGACCGGGACGAACGUAGGGGGGGCAAAUACCCUCUCCUAUCGACUGUACCGGUGGAGGAAGCCACGGCUAACUCUGUGCCAGCAGCCGCGGUAAUACAGAGGUGGCAAGCGUUGUUCGGAAUUACUGGGCGUAAAGGGCGCGUAGGCGGUUCUGUAAGUCCCGCGUGAAAUCCCCCGGCUCAACUGGGGAACUGCGCGGGAAACUGUGGGGCUAGAGUUCAGGAGAGGGAAGCGGAAUUCCGGGUGUAGCGGUGAAAUGCGUAGAUAUCCGGAGGAACACCGGUGGCGAAGGCGGCUUCCUGGACUGACACUGACGCUGAGGCGCGAAAGCUAGGGGAGCAAACGG
Molecule: ribosomal RNA, 429 nt
Filed under: uncultured bacterium
Lineage: Bacteria
Description: bacterial SSU rRNA
Rfam family: Bacterial small subunit ribosomal RNA
Source: RNAcentral